GCGAAAGCGAUGCUAAUACCGGAUAAUAUCUUUCUGGUCUCGAUCUCAAAGAUCAAAGGUGGCCUCUAGAUCUAAGCUACUGUUUGGAGAUGAGCCCGCGUACCAUUAGCUUGUUGGUAGGGUAAUGGCCUACCAAGGCUGCGAUGGUUAGCUGGUCUGAGAGGAUGAUCAGCCACACUGGAACUGACACACGGUCCAGACAACUACGGUUGGCAGCAGUGAGGAAUUUUGCACAAUGGGGGAAACCCUGAUGCAGCAACGCCGCGUGAGUGAUGAAGGCUUUCGAGUCGUAAAGCUCUGUCAAGUGGGAAGAACCUGCGAGAUGAUAAUACCGUCUCGCACUGACGGUACCACUGAAGGAAGUACCGGCUAACUCCGUGCCAGCAGCCGCGGUAAUACGGGGGGUACUAGCGUUAUUCGGAAUUAUUGGGCGUAAAGGGCGCGUAGGCGGUCUUUUAAGUCAAAUGUGAAAGCCCGGGGCUUAACCCCGGAAGUGCAUUUGAAACUAAGGGACUUGAGUAUGGGAGAGGGAAGUGGAAUUCCAGGUGUAGAGGUGAAAUUCGUAGAUAUCUGGAGGAACACCGGUGGCGAAGGCGACUUCCUGGACCAAUACUGACGCUGAUGCGCGAAGGCGUGGGGAGCAAACAGGAUUAGAUACCCUGGUAGUCCACGCAGUAAACGUUGAACACUAGGUGUAGCGGGUAUUGACCCCUGCUGUGCCGCAGUUAACGCAUUAAGUGUUCCGCCUGGGGAGUACGGUCGCAAGAUUAAAACUCAAAGGAAUUGACGGGGGCCCGCACAAGCGGUGGAGCAUGUGUUUAAUUCGACACCACGCGAAGAACCUUACCUGGACUUGACAUCCCGAGAAGUCUUUCGAAAGUUAGAUGUGCCCCUCGGGGAACUCGGUGACAGGUGCUGCAUGGCUGUCGUCAGCUCGUGUCGUGAGAUGUUGGGCUAAGUCCCGCAACGAGCGCAACCCCUAUCUUUAGUUACCAGCAUUCAGUUGGGGACUCUAGAGAUACUGCCCCGGUUAACGGGGAGGAAGGUGGGGAUGACGUCAAGUCCUCAUGGCCCUUAUGUCCAGGGCUACACACGUGCUACAAUGGACUGUACAAAGGGUUGCAAGCCUGCGAGGGUGAGCUAAUCCCAGAAAGCAGUUCUCAGUUCGGAUUGGAGUCUGCAACUCGACUCCAUGAAGUUGGAAUCGCUAGUAAUCGUGGAUCAGCAUGCCACGGUGAAUACGUUCCCGGGCCUUGUACACACCGCCCGUCACAUCAUGAGAGUUGGUUGUACCGGAAGUUGCUGGGCCAACCCUUCGGGGGGGCAAGUACCUAUGGUAUGAUUGAUGAUUAGGGUGAAGUCGAAACAAGGUAGCCGUUGGGGAACCAGCGGCUG
This 1395-nucleotide ribosomal RNA is filed under the name metagenome. Its description in RNAcentral is "bacterial SSU rRNA". It matches the Rfam family "Bacterial small subunit ribosomal RNA", at positions 151 to 1520 of the family's 1533-position model. The record is from RNAcentral.